GCGACCCCAGCGAUGGGCGGGGCCACCCGUCGAGUUUAAGCAUAUCAAUAAGCGGAGGAAAA
Molecule: ribosomal RNA, 62 nt
Filed under: Sobralia sp. Sspfguj
Lineage: Eukaryota; Viridiplantae; Streptophyta; Magnoliopsida; Asparagales; Orchidaceae
Description: partial 26S ribosomal RNA
Source: RNAcentral